UACGAAGGGGACUAGCGUUGCUCGGAAUCACUGGGCGUAAAGCGCACGUAGGCGGACUCUUAAGUCGGUGGUGAAAUCCUGGAGCUCAACUCCAGAACUGCCUUCGAUACUGGGAGUCUCGAGUUCGGGAGAGGUGAGUGGAACUGCGAGUGUAGAGGUGAAAUUCGUAGAUAUUCGCAAGAACACCAGUGGCGAAGGCGGCUCACUGGCCCGAUACUGACGCUGAGGUGCGAAAGCGUGGGGAGCAAACAGG
RNAcentral lists this ribosomal RNA (253 nucleotides) under uncultured bacterium. RNAcentral describes it as "partial 16S ribosomal RNA". It matches the Rfam family "Bacterial small subunit ribosomal RNA", at positions 524 to 776 of the family's 1533-position model. The record is from RNAcentral.